Molecule: ribosomal RNA, 253 nt
Filed under: uncultured bacterium
Lineage: Bacteria
Description: partial 16S ribosomal RNA
Rfam family: Bacterial small subunit ribosomal RNA
Source: RNAcentral
UACGUAGGGUGCAAGCGUUAAUCGGAAUUACUGGGCGUAAAGCGUGCGCAGGCGGCUUUGCAAGACAGAUGUGAAAUCCCCGGGCUUAACCUGGGAACUGCAUUUGUGACUGCAUGGCUAGAGUGCGGCAGAGGGGGAUGGAAUUCCGGGUGUAGCGGUGAAAUGCGUAGAUAUCCGGAGGAACACCGGUGGCGAAGGCGGCUUCCUGGCUCACAACUGACGAUCAGGCACGAAAGCGUGGGGAGCAAACAGG